UUUUUUUUUUGUGUCCAUGAAUGGAGAGCCGGUCCCUGUUUGAUGUGUUAAAUAUGUUAGGAUUUAGGGUUUAAAAAGAUUCUAAAAAUAUUUCUACUAAGGUUUUAUGGUUAAUCUUAUACUAUUAUUAGCAAUUACCCAGCAAAUGCUGGGUGGCUGGCAAAUUUCAUGCCAUUUUAAAAGAUUUGCUGAGCUUAGCUAUAUUUGCUGUUUGAUCAACUUAGUGUCUAAGGAUAACUCUCAAAAUCUAGAAGAAAGAACUUUACAAAAAAAAGUCUUGAAGCUAAACUAACCUAUCAUAGUUAGUAAUUGAUUCAGUAAUUAGAAGCUUUGCGGCUGGAAAGGCAGAGAAGGAGAGAGAUUCCAUGCAUCACCAGAAGCUUGAAAUGAUUCGAGCCUCUUGAUUCUAUACAUCUGGAUGUGCAAAUGAUUGAUCGUGGCAGUGGAAGCUAUGGUAGUAGAAAUCGAGUUAGCCUAGGAAAAGAAUUGUUGAGAAAAAAAGGGAUCACUCACUUGUAGCGACAUUGCAAAGGUGGAUGUGAUGAGUGGUAAUUUCCCCGAACCCUACUGUGCACAUGCCUUGACGUGAUAAAAUUUAAGGAGCUGGAGAGCCAACAUGGAUUCACAAACUUGCUCAUCCAUCUUGCAGAAAUGCGGUGGUAGAGAAAAGCUAUGGGGUGAAAACGUUUCAUCGUAAAUGUGCGUGCAUAGUGACUUUACUUCUGUGACUGGUUUUAACACAUGUCCUCAGACUCUGAUCUGGCAUUGUAAUUAACGAAAAGUUCAACAAAUUUGCAAAAGAAAUAAUACCUUUGAGUCAUCUGCUCCUGACCCAGCACCAUUUUAUUAGUGCACAUGUCAAAUAGUUUUAGUUACAGAAAAAAAUAGAAAGAAUUUCUUACCAAACAUCUGUGAGCAUAGCUUCUCCACCUGAAGGAAAGUAACUCGGCCUCAUCUCCAAGCAAACACAGGUGAGUUCCCUAGUGACUAUGACUGGGACACACUUCUCUUCACCACCUCGUAGACAGCAAAUCUGCAAAUCCGCACCAAGGCUCACUCGUUGUUAUCUCAGCUUUCUCUCCACACAUUUCGAAUUUGCAGCAUGUAUUAUUUUAUUUUAUUUUUGUCCAUGAUAUCUUACUUGUCAGGGAGAACUUCGGUUUACAAAGGCAUUCCUCUACAAUGUUCUCUUGCAAUGGUUGCAGGGUGCUCAUCUUGCUCAUGAAAUUUUUGAAGUUAAAAGCGACAUUAAUAAAACUGAUCAGCAUUUGAAUCACUCGGCCUCGGGGCAGCAAUUGCCCGAAUUCCUAGUUCCCAGCUCCAUCUCGACCGUUUUGGACACAACUUCGAUUCCAAGAACCCUAAAAAUAGCAAAAUAAAUGUGAAAACUGAGAGUGCAGUCACAACAAAAAUAAUGGUUACCCUAUCAGCACUCCUUUGCACUUUGUCGUUUCUUCGCAAAUAUUGAACAACCAUGCCUGAGGAUAAGAGCAGCAUUUGAGAUAUAGAUUGAUCCACGGCCCCCCUAAUCACAGCUCUAAAACUCCAAAACCGAAGUCUCUUUACUUUCCAAUGUAGAAAAAAAAAGAAGGAAAUUAAUACAGAUAGACCACUCAAAGUUCCACUGCCCCGAUUUAUCUCAAUAAAGAUUACAACUCAUAUGAUGAGGAAAAACCGUAUAUGAUGACAAAAAAUACGAAGGCUGAGAUCAGAAUCAGAAUCUCCAUAGCUUCUCUCCGCAAAUCCAUGCCAAUUCUUUCACUAUGUCAAGAAUAGGGAAAUCUUACAUUAGGAAUCGAUUCAUCUGCCUAGCUCAAUCCAUCAGUGCUGACGUGUGCAAUUGAACUGAAAUUCAGAGAGAGCCCAGGCCACAAAAGCUGGAUUCUAUCCUGGCACACUCCCUCACCAGCCCUGCCUGUGGUGCUGCUCACGCACCACAAGCAGAGCAGCCAUGGAACCCUAGUAGUGCAUCACGCCCUCUUCCCUCCCCGGCCACAUAUGCUUGCCACCCAUUGACCGCCACAACAUUGAGCCAAUAUUCUCACAAACCAUGGCCCUUGACUAGGCUGGGGCUUACUGGGAACCCUGGGCUUGGAAUUGGACGGCUGCAGGGGUUUAGGCCCUUUGUUCUUAUAUAUAUAGAUAAAGUUGUAAUAUAGUGCAAUGUAUAUGCAUUUUUUAAUUCAAUUUCAAGGGAUGUUAACUGUUGGUUACAAGAAUAUAAAAUGCAACAUGGCAAGGUAAUAUUUUUCUUGUGAAUUCAAGUUUCCUCAUUCAACAAGGUUUAUUUAUCAUUUCAUGAUUAUAAAAAUUUAAUUAGGAUCCUAGAUCAUAUCACUAAUUAAAUUAUAUGUUUAGUAUUAUUUUAUUUUCAGUAACUUCCAAACAGCAAAAGCUUAUCAAUGCUAAUAUAUAGGUUUUAACAGGGAAGGUAUAUAGCUAAGCUAUAAUGGCUAUCUUAGUCAGAAUGUUUAUAGUUUUAAUACUUAAAUUUUUCUAUUUGAAAGAGACUAUUGCACCACCAAAUGUGAGAUUUGGAACGGCCAAAAUAUUAAAUACUCAAGAUAUGGUAAAAGUUAUUGGCUUAAUUACAGAUUUAAUAAAUAAAAUUCACUACAAAACAGAUUAUGCUCGUAAUUAUGGAGAUGGAGGAUCUGUUACUGUUUCAUGUGGAAUUGUAAAUAUAGAAAUUAAAUCAAAAUACCAAUGCUCUAUAAGUGAGACAGUGGUAAAAACAAAGGGAAGAAACUUAAUAGCUGGUUUUGAAAGACUUUUAUAUCCAUAUAUAAGUAUGCUUAAUCAAAAGCUUUAUGAUUAUUUUGUAAAUGAAAAUGAUGGUUUUUUCAUACAAUAUAAGCUAGAAAAGCGGGAAGAACUUCUUCAAAAAGAUAAAUUGUUUGAUAGUUUUUAUUUAUGCAUUCUUGAAUCUAAUACACUUAUUAGCCCUAUGAUUUUUUAUAGUGGUAACUUUUUAGUCUCUCCUAAUAAAAAAGCUAUUUUAAUUUUAAAAACAGAUUGCAAUCUUGUUCUUUAUUUCCAGAAAACUCAAAUUUGGGAGUCACAUACAUCACAAAACAUUAGUGUUUAUUGUGUAUUAAAAUUUCAAACUAAUGGUGAUUGCAUUUUAUACAAUAAUUACAAAAUAAUUUGGAGAACUAAUACUCAAUUUACAAGUUCCUUAAAACUUUUUUAUUUUACUGUUCAGAAUGAUUGUAAUUUGGUAAUUUCUACUGUAGAAUUUCCAAAUAAAAUAUGGUGGGCAUUAAGUUCUCAUUCUUUAUGUUAGAACAUCAGUUAUAAAAUAGAUAAUAACUCCCCUAAUAGAUAAAUUAGAGCAUAAGUUUAUAAUUAUAUUUCUGUAAUACUCAAACAAGUUUAUCCUAAGUAUUACUAGAACCCAUUUCAAUUAUUAGUAUUAAACCCCAAAAAUAUGUAAUUCAUUUGCCUUAAUUAACUCUGUGUCCUUGAUUUCAUCACUUAUUUCAGAGAAGCUUUCAUAGUGGAUUUUUUCCUAAACGACGUUGCUUUUUGAGCUCCAAACAAAAAAGUAUAUGUCAACGUGAAUAACCAAGUUUUUUUCUAACUAAUAUACAAAAUACUUGUUUAAUGAUUAAAAACAUGGGCUUUAAAAACCAAAAGGAACAUUGCCAAAGCCCCAGAGAACGAGAAGAAAAAAACAAACAGCACGAAAGUACACAGCCAGCGUCCAAAAGAAAACAGCAACCUGUUCAGAGAAAAAAGAAGACAAACCAAAAAGGAUGAAAAGUAACGAGCACCACGAGACGAAAGCGAUGAAAACCUGUGCUCCUCACUCUUCUUCCACCACCGUCAUGUAACCUGGAUGUGCGCUGCCGUGUGAGAGUUUGCAGGAGGCCGCCAGUGUUAACACCGAAGGAGCCCGGCUCCCAAGGUGCAAAAAAAGGAUGGAACCAAACAGGCUCGUCAAAAACUGAGCCUGCAAAAACUGGACGGUGCCCUGAAAAAAUCCACCAGCAGCUCCCCCAAGCUAGAUAACAUAUCCAUCUUCGUCGCUCGCGAGUGUGUGGAAAAACGGCCUCUCCGCAUAGGCCCUCCAAACUUUGAUGAAGAGAAAAAAAGGAAACCUGCGCUGCGUAGUGAUUCACCCAACCUGUGCCUGUUUGCCUGCCCGUCCUCGUCGCU
This 4161-nucleotide long non-coding RNA is filed under the name Selaginella moellendorffii. RNAcentral describes it as "long non-coding RNA (SMOE_LNC000207)". The record is from RNAcentral. Lineage: Eukaryota; Viridiplantae; Streptophyta; Lycopodiopsida; Selaginellales; Selaginellaceae.